RNAcentral lists this ribosomal RNA (400 nucleotides) under uncultured bacterium. RNAcentral describes it as "bacterial SSU rRNA". It matches the Rfam family "Bacterial small subunit ribosomal RNA", at positions 28 to 433 of the family's 1533-position model. The record is from RNAcentral.
GAUGAACGCUGGCGGCGUGCUUAACACAUGCAAGUCGAACGUGAAGACGUAGCAAUAUGUCUGAAAGUGGCGAACGGGUGAGUAACACGUGGGUGACCUGCCUCGGAGUGGGGGAUAACCAUGGGAAACUGUGGCUAAUACCGCAUGGGCUUGUUAGACUUGGCGUCUAACGAGUAAAGCUUUAGUGCUUCGAGAGGGGCCUGCGUCCGAUUAGGUAGUUGGUGAGGUAAGGCUCACCAAGCCGAUGAUCGGUAGCUGGUCUGAGAGGACGAUCAGCCACACGGGAACUGAGAAACGGUCCCGACUCCUACGGGGGCAGCAGUGAGGAAUAUUGGGCAAUGACGCAAGUCUGACCCAGCAACGCCGCGUGGAGGAUGAAGGUUCUUGGAUCGUAAACUCC